CCUACGGGAGGCUGCAGUGGGGAAUAUUGGACAAUGGGGGGAACCCUGAUCCAGCCAUGCCGCGUGUGUGAAGAAGGCCCUCGGGUUGUAAAGCACUUUCAGUGAGGAAGAACGCCUGGUGGUUAAUACCCAUCAGGAAAGACAGCACUCACAGAAGAAGCACCGGCUAACUCCGUGCCAGCAGCCGCGGUAAUACGGAGGGUGCGAGCGUUAAUCGGAAUUACUGGGCGUAAAGCGCGCGUAGGUGGCUUGAUAAGCCGGUUGUGAAAGCCCCGGGCUCAACCUGGGAACGGCAUCCGGAACUGUCAAGCUAGAGUGCAGGAGAGGAAGGUAGAAUUCCCGGUGUAGCGGUGAACUGCGUAGAGAUCGGGAGGAAUACCAGUGGCGAAGGCGGCCUUCUGGACUGACACUGACACUGAGGUGCGAAAGCGUGGGUAGCAAACAGGAUUAGAUACCCGUGUAGUC
Molecule: ribosomal RNA, 465 nt
Filed under: Vreelandella stevensii
Lineage: Bacteria; Pseudomonadati; Pseudomonadota; Gammaproteobacteria; Oceanospirillales; Halomonadaceae
Description: partial 16S ribosomal RNA
Rfam family: Bacterial small subunit ribosomal RNA
Source: RNAcentral